ACAAGAACGCCCGGGCUUCGGCCUGGUUAUUCAUAACCCUUUGUUGUCCGACUCUGUUGCCUCCGGGGCGACCCUGCCUUCGGGCGGGGGCUCCGGGUGGACACUUCAAACUCUUGCGUAACUUUGCAGUCUGAGUAAACUUAAUUAAUAAAUUAAAACUUUUAACAACGGAUCUCUUGGUUCUGGCAUCGAUGAAGAACGCAGCGAAAUGCGAUAAGUAAUGUGAAUUGCAGAAUUCAGUGAAUCAUCGAAUCUUUGAACGCACAUUGCGCCCCCUGGUAUUCCGGGGGGCAUGCCUGUUCGAGCGUCAUUUCACCACUCAAGCCUCGCUUGGUAUUGGGCAACGCGGUCCGCCGCGUGCCUCAAAUCGUCCGGCUGGGUCUUCUGUCCCCUAAGCGUUGUGGAAACUAUUCGCUAAAGGGUGUUCGGGAGGCUACGCCGUAAAACAACCCCAUUUCUAAGGUUGACCUCGGAUCAGGUAGGGAUACCCGCUGAACUUAAGCAUAUCA
Molecule: ribosomal RNA, 509 nt
Filed under: Cladosporium herbarum
Lineage: Eukaryota; Fungi; Ascomycota; Dothideomycetes; Cladosporiales; Cladosporiaceae
Description: eukaryotic LSU rRNA
Rfam family: 5.8S ribosomal RNA (bases 157-310)
Source: RNAcentral